This is a long non-coding RNA of Cydia fagiglandana, 4085 nucleotides long. RefSeq lists it as uncharacterized. The record is from RefSeq and is a predicted model, not a curated record. NCBI's taxonomy places the organism in Eukaryota, Metazoa, Arthropoda, Insecta, Lepidoptera, Tortricidae. The transcript is spliced from 2 exons.
UGCACUAAUAUGCGAGUGCGAGCGAGAUGUAUAGAAAGUAAAUUACGUUCUCGACGGCGUUUAUGUCAGUGACAAACUGAUGGUAACCGUACUGAUCGCAUAAUGAGAUUGAAAGGUUUUUGUCCUGACAUAUCUUUAUGCGUUCACCAUACAUAACUAUAUACACUUACAUUGGUAUACCUACAAACAAAUUGUGUUUGUUGAUUUAAUUUAUUAGUAUUUGAUAUUGGUCUUACAGGUAUCAUAGACGGUCGUAUCAUUAUUUGUGCUCAAAGUGUUCUAAAUUUAGCAGGUAUUUGUUUAUUAGUAAAUAAUAUUAAAAGUAGUAACCUGUUUUGAAUUACCUAUAUGUGUAGUCACGUCACAAAAUUAAUCGUCGAAGUAAAAGAUCCGUACAUUCUGUAUUUGAUUGGAAAUACAUGAAAAAAUGUGUAUACUUAUUUCUUUCGUGAUGGACUAAAUAUUUGUAUAAAAAAUUCAGUGUCCAUUUAGAAAAGGCACCUACAAUUUUAUUUAAUAUCUUGCACAACGAAGCGCCUAAAUAUAUUGUGUAAGAUAUUUUCGCGGUAUUCAUUUUGCAAGAUAUUAGGUAACAGUAUAAAAUAAAAUAUAAACAAACUACGUUGUUUACACUUCCACUUAAUUUUACUAAAUAAUAUUUUCACGUUUAGCAAUAAUCUAAUGUUUCUGUAUUUAAUCUUUCGACUUUGACGUCUAUGAAAAGUUAUUCAAAGUAAAGAAAGGACGCUUACCACGAGAAAUUGCGAACAUUGACCCGACUGUUCCUAUCUCUGUCGUACGCGAUUAAUUACAUUGCUGUCGUCCCGUCCAUGAUGCCGGCGGUCAAUUACAUUGUGCAAGCGCGACUGCAAUACUUGUGUUAAGCGUCCUUUUUUUCAAUAUGGUUUCACAAAAUUUUAUAAAUACCACUAAUACCAGCAAUAUAGAAAACUGUUCCAAACAAAUUGUUUCAGCUCAUUAUAUUUGAAUAUAAUAAGUUUUGUAUGUAAGCUAGCCAGAAUUCGACAAUAAUGCUAGUUUUUACAAAUAGUUGACAUAUAGUUUGUUUUUUUUUAGCAUUAGAAAGAACUUGCAAGAAGGUAAGCGAUCUUGACAUAUAUAUUUAAUUGAAAAGCGCUUUUUAAAAAUCAAUAACUAUUACUUAUGAAAGUAGAAGAAUAUAAAUGAUCGUAUUAGAUUCAGAUUCAUAAUUCAAAAAUGUGUUUUUCAUUUAAAAGAUACAUCAAGAGUUUACCUUAUUUCUAAUGCUAUAAAAACGAACUAUAAAUGUGACAUUUGGAACCUGAAACACCAGAACUUAAAGUUUGCAGUCUUCCAUCACUUUGUUUAGACAAUAAUAGCAUAUGACCAGCGUGUCGCAUACAGAAACAGAUUUCUUAUUCCAUAGACACGCAGAAUAGUUAGGCCAACUAAACGAAACGAGGUAAAUAAUGUAAAUAAUCUGACCAUUACCAGGCGUGGCUCACUCCGCGAUUUCGUCGCUUUGCUACAGGUAGCUAAAAAUACAUCUGUUCGACCCCAGUUUUGGGGUUUGCCAUAAGCCGCGCGUGGCGCUGUCGCCACCUAGCGGCCAUAUCUGUGCUGAUCGUGACAGACGCGUUUUGUUAGAGAGUGAGUCUUCUGUACCUAGUACUAUUAUUUAUUCUGUGCCAUUACUGAGUUACAUUGCUUGACGAAAGCUGUUGUUGCGUGUUUCGUACUACAGCCGACGUCAAAGAUAUGUUUACAAUUUUUGCCUUAUCACAAAGGGGUAAGGUGCAAAAAAGUGUAACCAUAUCUUUGACGUCGACUGUACCAUCGCCCACACAUCUGUACAUCGGUGGACCUUAUGCCUUCUGUAAUAAGAUCCAAGAUCCACCGAUGUACAUUUAGGAGUGUUGCUGUUUAUACAUACAAGGAAGAUGUCACAGAACUAACAGAUGAUAUCAACAUUUGAGCCGCUGCUUUGUGAACAAGCUGUCUCUGUUGACGUGAUGAUGUAGUGUUUAGUAGCUAUGGCUAACAUAUGUAUAUAGAUGGCGUUAUUCAUAAACGAAAACAGAAGAGGAAAGAUGCUUGGUCACCUGCUACGACACGACGAAUUUAUCAAAAAUAUCAUUGAAGGGAAAGUUGAGGCAACAAGACGGAGGGGGAGACCAAGGAGAACGUACAUAGAUCAAGUAAAGGAAAAGCUCAACGUCGUGUCGUAUCAGGCUGUCAAGGAGAAGGCAGAGGACCGACAUACAUGGAAAUCGCUCCACCGACAAGAGUCUAACUCUUAAAUGAAUGAUGAUGAUUCAUAAACGCAUUACAAAUUACUGAAUUAGGUGUAACUCGUUUGUCUUUAUCUGUCAUUUUAACUUAUGUAUUUAUCAGAAAGGGAUAAAACAUAAUUUAAGUAAUUCAGAGUCGUAAAGUUUUAUAAAUAAGGGGAAAAUUCGAAUCCCUAAAAGGUUGUUAACAUUAGUCAUCUCGUUUCGUUGGACUGCUAUAUACUAGCUUGCGUUAUUACUUACCAUCGUCGACACUUUUCACUGGCAAAGUAAACCUUAUUGCAAUGUCAUAAGGUCCACCGAUUAAGAGUGAUAUCGUUAGAAGCUCCACAUGUGUUCCAAUCCUCCGGUUAAUAAGUUUGUCGCUAGUUUGGUAGAGCAUUCACUGUUGUAACAUUACGGCUUCGGCUGUAGAAUGAACUACAUUCCGAGAUUAUCUCUGACUACAGUACCUAUGGCGUGUUUUAAAUAAACUGUGCACAGGUUGUUAACCGCCACAGACGUCAUCUGACGCGCGCGGCUACACUCCAAUAUCAACCUUCGUGCAUUCCGAUAAGGUUCAUGUUGACGCGUCACACAUGAUAGGACGACGCAUUUGACAUCAUGAAGUAACCGUUCAACAUACAACAAACUUUUUGCUUGUUGCCAUCAAUAAAAAUAUUUUGUAACUGAUAACACGUGACGUAAUGUUAAAACAGUGUUAGUAAUGUUAGUGCGUAUCAUGAUAGUUUGAUUAGGCAUUCGUUAGAUCGCUAGCAACCACAGGGCUGUGUUGUUAUUAGGUACUCGUAAUUAUGUUCUUUCGUAGCAUGUUGUAUAGAUUUUAUAACACGGACAUAAAGAUAUUCACAUUGUAAUUACACUUAAUAUAGCAAUAGUUACAUGACAUACAUAAUUACCUUCUCAAACUACCUGCCACAUAUAUACAUAUAUAUAUAUAUCAAUAAAUGAGUGGAAGUAGAUAGAUUUGUUACAUCUUUUGAAGUUAGGUCACGCUCGCUCGUUCCUAAUUCCCUAUACGAGUAAAUGCAUCUACAAUGGGAAUCUAGUACUGAAUAGAAAAAGUCGUACGCUCGAACUUAUUUAUUAGGAACUAUCUUUGAGUGUCUUAGCGCCCAAGUGUGUGAAUCGUGAGCCCUAUAAAUAUCGCUCAAUAAAUUACAUAUUUGUCCUCUAGCCGCCCAGUGUCCUAUAAAAAGUUCUCCCUUUUCAUACUACUUUGUAUUUUUAGUUUUAGAAAUCAAAAUUGCAUAUUUGUCUUAGCAAGUAGUAGACGGUAUGGCGGCAGUUUUAGUGAAAAUAUAUUCUGCAUAUUUACUCCUUGUAUUAGUGUAUAAAAUUGAACUACUGUGUAUAUUUACGGUAAAAUAUUUCCUCUUUCGAAAUACAUAAAUGUACUUACAAAUCUAUAUAUAUUUUUUAAAACCUAUGUUAUGAAAUUUAAGUAGACAUACCAAAAUCAUUGUUCAAGUAUUUCAAAUCACUUCGGAAAAAGCAUAUUCUACCGCAUACUACACUUUUUUCGUGUACAUAAUAGUCAUUUGGUAUUUUUGUAUGUAGUAAAGUAUAAAUAGCGUGGGCGAUGUAAGCAAAGUAGUUUUAUAUCGCGCGUAGUUUAGUUAAAUGUAACCGAUGUACAUACCAAUGAAUUCCGUGUUAAAUUUAUUUUAUUGUGACACCUAAAUUGUUGUAUGGACCGAGUCUUGAUAUUCUUAAUGGUUAUUCGUGAAAAUGUUAUAAAAAUCGAGACAGCGCUCAGUGUUCGCAUAUAAGUAAAUGAUAUGCUUCAAUAAAAUACAUGGUGAAGCCUCA